CAGCACGGGAGCAAUCCUGGUGGCGACCGGCAAACGGGUGCGGAACACGUACAGAACCUUCCUUUAAGCGGGGGAUAGCCCGAAGAAAUUCGGAUUAAUACCCCAUAGUAAUUUUGGCUGGCAUCAGUUGGAAUUUAAAGAUUUAUCACUUAAAGAUGGCUGUGCGUAUGAUUAGGUAGUUGGUUGAGGUAACGGCUCACCAAGCCUUCGAUCAUUAACUGGUGUGAGAGCACGACCAGUCACACGGGCACUGAGACACGGGCCCGACUCCUACGGGAGGCAGCAGUAAGGAAUAUUGGUCAAUGGACGCAAGUCUGAACCAGCCAUGCCGCGUGAAGGAUGAAGGCCCUCCGGGUUGUAAACUUCUUUUAUCUGGGAAGAAACCCUCGGAUUAUUCUGAGAUUGACGGUACCAGAGGAAUAAGCACCGGCUAACNCCGUGCCAGCAGCCGCGGUAAU
RNAcentral lists this ribosomal RNA (458 nucleotides) under uncultured Bacteroidota bacterium. Its description in RNAcentral is "bacterial SSU rRNA". It matches the Rfam family "Bacterial small subunit ribosomal RNA", at positions 70 to 524 of the family's 1533-position model. Lineage: Bacteria; Pseudomonadati; Bacteroidota. The record is from RNAcentral.